This 430-nucleotide ribosomal RNA is filed under the name Verrucomicrobiota bacterium. RNAcentral describes it as "Verrucomicrobia bacterium partial 16S ribosomal RNA". It matches the Rfam family "Bacterial small subunit ribosomal RNA", at positions 355 to 776 of the family's 1533-position model. The record is from RNAcentral. Lineage: Bacteria; Pseudomonadati; Verrucomicrobiota.
UAGGGAAUCUUCGGCAAUGGGGGGAACCCUGACCGAGCAACGCCGCGUGAGUGAAGAAGGUUUUCGGAUCUUAAAGCUCUGUUGUUAAGGAAGAACGAGUGUGAGAAUGGAAAGUUCAUGCUGUGACGGUACUUAACCAGAAAGGGACGGCUAACUACGUGCCAGCAGCCGCGGUAAUACGUAGGUGGCAAGCGUUGUCCGGAAUUAUUGGGCGUAAAGCGCGCGCAGGUGGUUUAGAAAGUCUGAUGUGAAAGCCCACGGCUCAACCGUGGAAGGUCAUUGGAAACUAAUAAGCUUGAGUGCAGGGGAGAAAAGUGAAAUUCCUGGUGUAGCGGUGAAAUGCGUAGAGAUUAGAGGGAACACCGGUGGCGAAAGCGGCUUUUUGGCCUGCAACUAACACUGAGGAGCGAAAGCGUGGGGAGCAAACAGG